Molecule: long non-coding RNA, 1126 nt
Organism: Helianthus annuus (common sunflower)
Lineage: Eukaryota; Viridiplantae; Streptophyta; Magnoliopsida; Asterales; Asteraceae
Exons: 3
Source: RefSeq, a predicted model, not a curated record
AUCUUUUUUUUUUUUUUUUUUUUUUUUUAUUUUGAGCGCUUCGUAUACGUGAAGCUCUCGCUUCGCGCUUGAAGCUUCGCUUAAAGCUUUUGGAACCAAAACGCUUUGGAGCGCCUCACGCUUUUUUUAAACCAAAGAUGCGAUGUGAUGAUUCUUAUUUUCCAUUUGUUGUUGACAAUUUACGCUCAAUAUAUUUGUUAUCAGUAUAGCCAAGUUUGUAUCUGCCUUAUAUAUUGGUGGCAAAUGGGCAGCUUGGGUAACUAUCAACACUAGUAAUUUUUGUACAUGUUGAAACAGGUCAGCUAGGGGGGUUGGGUUGCUUGGAAACAAUGCCCGCACCACAAAUAUAUUAAACUUUUGGAGUAUUAAGUAUGAGACGCCUAUUUUCUGCAUGGAAAGCUACGAGAACCAAUUGUUUAUCUGUGGAAAAUUUACAAAGCAAGACCUUAUGCCAGGAGUUAACAAAGAUAAUCAGUUUGGCAGACACAUGGGUGAGGCUUUCCCAUGUACUUGUUCGGUCAUUACAGCAACUUUAAUGGUGGUGUGUUGCGUAACGGUUUGAAACACGUAAUGUUUUGGUGUGGGCCAAAGCAUUAUACGGCCAUCACUGAGUCCUCGCAUCGGACUUCAAGACCACCUCGAUCUUCUUUCCAUUGAUCCUUUCUGCUCAUCAUUGGUAAUUCUAGCUGUUCUCCUUAAUAAUGUGUGUCACUGAUUUUUGUUUUAAUGAAGAUGUGAUGUGAGAUUAUAUACAUAUACAUUUAACAGAUAUGUUGUUUGAUCACAAUAUUGACACAAAUUUCUGCACAUCUAAUCUGUGUAAACAGACUGUUUUUUUUGUUCACCAAAAAGUAUUACUGUAUUAAUCGGAUUACAUUAUAAUUUAAGUUAUACUAUGUAUUUUAAAUAAAAUGUUGGUAGGGGGACUUUUGGCCGUUUCCUUCCCUCUUAAUGGGCAUGGCCCUCAAAGUAGUUGAUAGCGCCUAAUCUAAUAGAGGUGGCCAAAUGGGCCGGUUGAGUGGGUUGCGUAACAUAAAUGGAUUUAUUUUUCUAUGGACCAAAACAUGUCAGGUUGGUUACUAUGAAUCAUAGUUGUUAAUAGCGAAUAGUGACAAGGGACCUAUAU